CCGGGUGUAGCCUAUCGGUUAGGCACUUGGUUUGGGACCAAGGUCAGGCUGGUUCGACUCCAGUCACUCGGACCA
RNAcentral lists this transfer RNA (75 nucleotides) under Oscillibacter valericigenes. RNAcentral's name for it is "tRNA-Pro". It matches the Rfam family "tRNA". From Rfam's summary of the family: Transfer RNA (tRNA) molecules are approximately 80 nucleotides in length. Their secondary structure includes four short double-helical elements and three loops (D, anti-codon, and T loops). RNAcentral also lists the same sequence under 5 other names. Lineage: Bacteria; Bacillati; Bacillota; Clostridia; Eubacteriales; Oscillospiraceae. The record is from RNAcentral.